UUAAUUACCUGGACGGGGUCGAUGGGUUAUCAACCAGGUUCAUCGCCUAGGUAAGUAACUUCCAUUGCACUUGGAAAUGGCGCUUGUCUAAGGUCUCCUCAAAGUAGGAGAGCCUACGUCAUAAUUUGUGGUAGUGGAGGUCUGCGUCCGCACGGCCCCUG
Gossypium raimondii (Peruvian cotton) is the source of this 161-nucleotide non-coding RNA. The record is from Rfam. NCBI's taxonomy places the organism in Eukaryota, Viridiplantae, Streptophyta, Magnoliopsida, Malvales, Malvaceae.